CUUAGUUCGUGGAGUGAUCUGUCUGCUUAAUUGCGUUUCAAAAUUUAACUUGAGGACCGGGUUUUGGUUUGGCUAGUGGUUCUACGAUGACUGUGAACUGUCAUGUCUUCGGAUGUGCGACUAUUGGUCUAGGAUCACAUGACUUGCCCCUGGGACUCUUUUGAACGCAACGGACGUGAUUGCAACCCCUUGUUGAGAUUAGAGAUAGUCUCGAUAUUCACUGGACAAACUGGCUGCUUUAUGCAGUCUUGUUGAAUGGUGGAUAAACUCGGGGGACUGCUGACUAUAACCAUUUCUCAAAACAGAGGAAGGUUGCGGCAAUAACAGGUCUGUGAUGCCCUCAGAUGUCCCGGGCUGCACACGUGCUACAAUGAGUGGCGCAAUGUGCUAAUGUUUAAGGGAUAAGAGUGUGGUCAGUAGAACGUCGGGAUUUCCCCUGACGUCUCCCCCGCACGAUUAUCAGCCUUCCCUUAACAGGGCGGGCAACCUUUUCAAAAUACUGGUUUGAUGUUAAAGUAUUGAGUCGUUUUUUUUGGAUGGUGGUUUGUUAACCAAUACCAUCCGGCAACUGCUCGCGAGUUUGUGGUUCUGGCGACUC
RNAcentral lists this ribosomal RNA (598 nucleotides) under Globigerinoides ruber albus. RNAcentral describes it as "partial small subunit ribosomal RNA". It matches the Rfam family "Eukaryotic small subunit ribosomal RNA", at positions 1293 to 1605 of the family's 1831-position model. The record is from RNAcentral. Lineage: Eukaryota; Foraminifera; Rotaliida; Globigerinidae.